This 460-nucleotide ribosomal RNA is filed under the name uncultured Methylomirabilota bacterium. Its description in RNAcentral is "bacterial SSU rRNA". It matches the Rfam family "Bacterial small subunit ribosomal RNA", at positions 977 to 1434 of the family's 1533-position model. Lineage: Bacteria; Methylomirabilota (SeqCode). The record is from RNAcentral.
GGGCUUGACAUCCCACGAACCUGCCUGAAAGGGCGGGGUGCCCGCAAGGGAGCGUGGAGACAGGUGGUGCAUGGCUGUCGUCAGCUCGUGUCGUGAGAUGUUGGGUUAAGUCCCGCAACGAGCGCAACCCUCACCCCUAGUUGCCACCGGGUAAAGCCGAGCACUCGAGGGGAACUGCCAGCGUCAAGCUGGAGGAAGGCGGGGAUGACGUCAAGUCAUCAUGCCCCUUACGCCCUGGGCCACACACGUGCUACAAUGGCUGGUACAAAGGGACGCGAGACCGCAAGGUGGAGCUAAUCCUAAAAAACCAGUCUAGGUUCAGAUUGCAGUCUGCAACUCGACUGCAUGAAGGAGGAAUCGCUAGUAAUCGCGCAUCAGCACGGCGCGGUGAAUACGUUCCCGGGCCUUGUACACACCGCCCGUCACACCACGAAAGUUGGCUGUACUCGAAGUCGCUGAG